Molecule: ribosomal RNA, 390 nt
Filed under: uncultured bacterium
Lineage: Bacteria
Description: partial 16S ribosomal RNA
Rfam family: Bacterial small subunit ribosomal RNA
Source: RNAcentral
AUACAUAGGGAGCGAGCGUUGUCCGGAAUUACUGGGCGUAAAGGGCGCGUAGGCGGCGCUUCAAGUCGUCUGUCAAAUGGAAGGGCUUAACCCUUUUUCGCAGACGAAACUGGAGAGCUUGAGAAGCAGAGAGGCAAACAGAAUUCCUGGUGUAGCGGUGAAAUGCGUAGAUAUCAGGAAGAAUACCAGUGGCGAAGGCGGUUUGCUGGCUGCAUACUGACGCUGAAGCGCGAAAGCCAGGGGAGCGAACGGGAUUAGAUACCCCGGUAGUCCACGCCGUAAACGAUGAGCACUAAGUGUCGGAUGAAUUUUCGGCGCUGCAGUUAACACAAUAAGUGCUCCGCCUGGGGAGUACGGUCGCAAGACUGAAACUCAAAGGAAUUGGCGGGG